This 444-nucleotide ribosomal RNA is filed under the name uncultured bacterium. Its description in RNAcentral is "SSU rRNA". It matches the Rfam family "Bacterial small subunit ribosomal RNA", at positions 26 to 518 of the family's 1533-position model. The record is from RNAcentral.
AGAGCGAACGCUGGCGGCAGGCUUAACACAUGCAAGUCGAACGCGUGUAGCAAUACACGAGUGGCGCACGGGUGAGUAACGCGUGGGCAUCUGCCUCAUGGUUCGGAAUAACCCCGGGAAACUGGGGCUAAUACCGGAUGGUACCUUCGGGUUAAAGAUUUAUCGCCAUGAGAUGAGCCCGCGUCCGAUUAGCUAGUUGGUGAGGUAACGGCUCACCAAGGCGACGAUCGGUAGCUGGUCUGAGAGGACGAUCAGCCACACUGGGACUGAGACACGGCCCAGACUCCUACGGGAGGCAGCAGUGGGGAAUAUUGGACAAUGGGGGCAACCCUGAUCCAGCCAUGCCGCGUGAGUGAUGAAGGCCUUCGGUUGUAAAGCUCUUUGUGCGGAAGAUAAUGACGGUACCGCAAGAAUAAGCCCGGCUAACUUCGCGCCAGCAGCCGC